This 253-nucleotide ribosomal RNA is filed under the name uncultured bacterium. RNAcentral's name for it is "partial 16S ribosomal RNA". It matches the Rfam family "Bacterial small subunit ribosomal RNA", at positions 524 to 776 of the family's 1533-position model. The record is from RNAcentral.
UACGAAGGGGGCUAGCGUUGCUCGGAAUCACUGGGCGUAAAGCGCACGUAGGCGGCUUUUUAAGUCAGGGGUGAAAUCCUGGAGCUCAACUCCAGAACUGCCUUUGAUACUGAGAAGCUUGAGUCCGGGAGAGGUGAGUGGAACUGCGAGUGUAGAGGUGAAAUUCGUAGAUAUUCGCAAGAACACCAGUGGCGAAGGCGGCUUACUGGUCCGGUUCUGACGCUGAGGCGCGAAAGCGUGGGGAGCAAACAGG